This 240-nucleotide ribosomal RNA is filed under the name uncultured bacterium. RNAcentral's name for it is "partial 16S ribosomal RNA". It matches the Rfam family "Bacterial small subunit ribosomal RNA", at positions 122 to 355 of the family's 1533-position model. The record is from RNAcentral.
UAACCUGCCCAAGAGACUGGGAUAACACCUGGAAACAGAUGCUAAUACCGGAUAACAACACUAGACGCAUGUAUAGAGUUUAAAAGAUGGUUCUGCUAUCACUCUUGGAUGGACCUGCGGUGCAUUAGCUAGUUGGUAAGGUAACGGCUUACCAAGGCAAUGAUGCAUAGCCGAGUUGAGAGACUGAUCGGCCACAUUGGGACUGAGACACGGUCCAAACUCCUACGGGAGGCAGCAGCA